Long non-coding RNA from Ostrinia furnacalis (Asian corn borer), 786 nucleotides. RefSeq lists it as uncharacterized. Lineage: Eukaryota; Metazoa; Arthropoda; Insecta; Lepidoptera; Crambidae. The record is from RefSeq and is a predicted model, not a curated record. The transcript has 4 exons.
CACCUAGACAUCGCAACUAAAUCCGCGAUGAGUUUUUAGAUUUGCAUUCUAUAAACUCGAUCGUCGGCACGAAUUUACUCUAGCGCUACGCUUGUCGGCGCGGCAGCGGGUUGAACUAAUUGAUCGUGAGAUUUUGUAUGGGAUGACGUUUUGAGUGGCAUUCUGUAAGGAAAUUCCAGCCCCAUUCCGAAACACACUUCGCACUCGAAUGCGCUCCAAAAUGUCAAAUAAAAAGUUAGUAUUUUGUGAGUGAGAAUAGACGGAGUUUUAGAAAAUUGCAUUAAAAUUACUUUUAUUAGUGUUCAAAUGUGUUAAAAAUAAGUUUUGUGAUAUUUAUUUGAACUAAAUUAUGCAUAUUAGGGAUGACACGAAUGUUUAUAUUAAAGGCAAAUGGAUUUCAACUCGAGUAAAGAGAUAUUAUGCACCUUGUCAUUUUUGGCUAAAGGCAGUAAUCUGUAAAGUAAUUAAUAAAUUUACCAGCAGAGAACGAUAACGUUUUUACUGUCGCAAAGGUUACCAUGCAAGAAAGUGCAAUCGAUAACAGAUAAAGAUCUAAAUAAGUCAAAUGCGGAUCCAACUUAAUAUGGUGGAAUGGUGGUGCUAUGCAAGUCUGAUUUAUUUUUAUUCACUGUAUCUACCUACCUAUAGUAAAAAAAAACACUUAAGAGAUGUACAAAGGCUGGUGAUGAAGUGGUUUUGCUUGGUGAUUUAGGAUAUGCUCCACGCGCCUGCCUAAUGACACCAGUGAGUGGUACCGAAGAUAAUUCCCCAGAAGCACUCAUAUUC